AUUGAACGCUGGCGGCAGGCCUAACACAUGCAAGUCGAGCGGAUGAAGGGAGCUUGCUCCUGGAUUCAGCGGCGGACGGGUGAGUAAUGCCUAGGAAUCUGCCUGGUAGUGGGGGAUAACGUCCGGAAACGGGCGCUAAUACCGCAUACGUCCUGAGGGAGAAAGUGGGGGAUCUUCGGACCUCACGCUAUCAGAUGAGCCUAGGUCGGAUUAGCUAGUUGGUGGGGUAAAGGCCUACCAAGGCGACGAUCCGUAACUGGUCUGAGAGGAUGAUCAGUCACACUGGAACUGAGACACGGGCCAGACUCCUACGGGAGGCAGCAGUGGGGAAUAUUGGACAAUGGGCGAAAGCCUGAUCCAGCCAUGCCGCGUGUGUGAAGAAGGACUUCGGAUUGUAAAGCACUUUAAGUUGGGAGGAAGGGCAGUAAGUUAAUACCUUGCUGUUUUGACGUUACCAACAGAAUAAGCACCGGCUAACUUCGU
RNAcentral lists this ribosomal RNA (483 nucleotides) under uncultured bacterium. RNAcentral describes it as "partial 16S ribosomal RNA". It matches the Rfam family "Bacterial small subunit ribosomal RNA", at positions 30 to 506 of the family's 1533-position model. The record is from RNAcentral.